UUCCAUGCGAGNCCUUGUAGUAAUACAAGGCAGACGGCUCAGUAACACGUAGUCAAUCUAACCUAUGGACGGGGAUAACCUCGGGAAACUGAGAAUAAUACCCGAUAGAUCAUUAUGCCUGGAAUGGUUUAUGGUCGAAAUGAUUUAUCGCCGUAGGGUGGGACUGCGUUCUAUCAGCUUGUUGGUGAGGUAAUGGCCCACCAAGGCUNUNACAGAUACGGGCUCUGAGAGGAGAAGCCCGGAGAUGGGUACUGAGACACGGACCCAGGCCCUAUGGGGCGCAGCAGGCGAGAAAACUUUGCAAUGUGCGAAAGCACGACAAGGUUAAUCCGAGUGUUUUCUGCUAAAGAAAUCUUUUGUCAGUCCUAAAAACACUGAUGAAUAAGGGGUGGGCAAGUUCUGGUGUCAGCCGCCGCGGUAAAACCAGCACCUCAAGUGGUCAGGAGGAUUAUUGGGCCUAAAGCAUCCGUAGCCGGCUCU
RNAcentral lists this ribosomal RNA (480 nucleotides) under marine crenarchaeote RS.Sph.033. RNAcentral describes it as "bacterial SSU rRNA". It matches the Rfam family "Archaeal small subunit ribosomal RNA", at positions 47 to 532 of the family's 1478-position model. The record is from RNAcentral. Lineage: Archaea; Thermoproteati; Thermoproteota.